RNAcentral lists this microRNA precursor (78 nucleotides) under Schistosoma mattheei. RNAcentral's name for it is "mir-3492 microRNA precursor family". It matches the Rfam family "mir-3492 microRNA precursor family". Lineage: Eukaryota; Metazoa; Platyhelminthes; Trematoda; Strigeidida; Schistosomatidae. The record is from Rfam by way of RNAcentral.
AGCUUUUUGAAUCCGUGCUGAGAUUUCAUCAGUCACCAGCCCAUUAGCGCUAACCAGAUAUCCAAGAUAAGUGAAGUU